UUUCACCGCUUGUGAAAUAUUACAGAGGCCCACUGCUGAGCUGUCUUUGGAGGGGCCUUGAGAAACUGUGAUGGAGAUGAUGCCAGAGCUGAUUUAAGCUCCUCAGCGGACAGAACUUGGACUGGAGUUUCAAGCCGAAGCACGAACAGAUUCUGCCCUGGCGAGAGCCGCUGUAUUUAAAUACUCUCUAAAUUACUGUGUGUGUGUCUGCGGACGGCUGCUUGAGAUUCAUUUAUCCUACUUACAGCACAUAUGUUUAGAGGGAAGGAUUUUCUUGCAAACUCAUGAGAGGUGAACAGAGACAUUCAUACAGAUGCAAAGAUUUUCACCGUGAUGAGCAGCAUGGUUUGCAGAGGAACAGAUUGAUUUAUUCUUCUGGAGAAAUACGAUUAACAGGAAACUGCGGGAUAUUUCAUGAAGUCAAAACAAACACGAUACCGACGGUAAUAGGCCAACACAAUUUUGUUCAUGUUUUAAGAAAGGGUGUGACAUUAGCUUUUGUUUGGUAUUUUAUAAACUGUGGAUGUGCUUUAGAAAUAUUCAUGAUUUAUCAAAGCUAGACUGUUACAUGCAUGUUUGCAUCAAUCUUGUGAUGUCAAUGUAAAAACCCACCCAUCCAUCAUGUGACAGACUAUCAGACCCAAACACUUCUGUUGUUGCCAGUAUUUAGUAUAUAAAAAAUUCAUAGUAUUUUUGAAAUUCAGAUUAAAAUACAUUGCAGUUUAUCAAAUCACUAGUUCAGACUAUUGUAAUAUUACAAAGUGUUAAGUAUAGUUUACUACAUUUUACUAUAGUAAAAACUAAAGCAUACUACAGUUUUUUUCCAUUAAUGCACCUGAAUUCAUGUUUCAGUUCCUGUUAAUUAUUUAAUAUCAAAUCUUAAGAGCUUAAAUUUUUCUUUGUUAAACACUCAUAAAAACUUUGCAAAAACAUCAAGUCUCAUGAACAAAACGUUCUGGUUUAUAUUUGGAUUAUUUAAGCUUUGAGUGUUUUGAAUUAGACGAAAUUAAUAACUCGUUUUAAUGUCAUCUUUCUGAAGAACACAUUUAUCCAUAUUUUUUAACUCUAUAUUGGACUAGGCCUAAAUGUAUUUUUUAAAGGUAUUUAUUGCAAGGUUAACAGAUAAUUAAUGAAGACAAAUUGAAUGCGCAUAUCACUCAUAUUUCGUUUCUGAACCAUGAAGUCAAAUAAUGUCAAAUUGGCAAUAAAUAAAUGUCAAAUACAAAAUCAGACUCGAUGGAGUAGUUCUUUUAAUGGACGUUUUUUUCCCUGAGUUGUACAGUAAAAACGUUCUUAAACGUUUUAAAAGCAAGUUUUUCUAAACUAUAAUUCAAGUA
This is a long non-coding RNA of Triplophysa dalaica, 1337 nucleotides long. RefSeq lists it as uncharacterized. The record is from RefSeq and is a predicted model, not a curated record. The transcript has 3 exons. NCBI's taxonomy places the organism in Eukaryota, Metazoa, Chordata, Actinopteri, Cypriniformes, Nemacheilidae.